Molecule: ribosomal RNA, 253 nt
Filed under: uncultured bacterium
Lineage: Bacteria
Description: partial 16S ribosomal RNA
Rfam family: Bacterial small subunit ribosomal RNA
Source: RNAcentral
UACAGAGGUCUCAAGCGUUGUUCGGAUUCAUUGGGCGUAAAGGGUGCGUAGGCGGCAGCGCAAGUCAGGUGUGAAAUCCCGGGGCUCAACCCCGGAACUGCACUUGAUACUGCGUUGCUUGAGUACUGGAGAGGAGACUGGAAUUUACGGUGUAGCGGUGAAAUGCGUAGAUAUCGUAAGGAAGACCAGUGGCGAAGGCGGGUCUCUGGACAGUUCCUGACGCUGAGGCACGAAGGUCAGGGGAGCAAACGGG